Molecule: non-coding RNA, 22 nt
Filed under: Arabidopsis thaliana (thale cress)
Lineage: Eukaryota; Viridiplantae; Streptophyta; Magnoliopsida; Brassicales; Brassicaceae
Source: RNAcentral
CUGGUCGCUGGCGAUUGUCGUU